Molecule: ribosomal RNA, 254 nt
Filed under: uncultured bacterium
Lineage: Bacteria
Description: partial 16S ribosomal RNA
Rfam family: Bacterial small subunit ribosomal RNA
Source: RNAcentral
UACGGGGGGGGCAAGCGUUGUUCGGAAUUACGUGGGCGUAAAGGGCUCGUAGGCGGCCAACUAAGUCAGACGUGAAAUCCCUCGGCUUAACCGGGGAACUGCGUCUGAUACUGGAUGGCUUGAGGUUGGGAGAGGGAUGCGGAAUUCCAGGUGUAGCGGUGAAAUGCGUAGAUAUCUGGAGGAACACCGGUGGCGAAGGCGGCAUCCUGGACCAAUUCUGACGCUGAGGAGCGAAAGCCAGGGGAGCAAACGGG